UACGGGGGGGAGCAAGCGUUGUUCGGAUUUACUGGGCGUAAAGGGCGCGUAGGCGGCGUGACAAGUCACUUGUGAAAUCUCCGGGCUUAACCCGGAGCGGUCAAGUGAUACUGUCGUGCUAGAGUGCAGAAGGGGCAACUGGAAUUCUCGGUGUAGCGGUGAAAUGCGUAGAUAUCGAGAGGAACACCUGCGGCGAAGGCGGGUUGCUGGGCUGACACUGACGCUGAGGCGCGAAAGCUAGGGGAGCGAACGGG
This 254-nucleotide ribosomal RNA is filed under the name uncultured bacterium. Its description in RNAcentral is "partial 16S ribosomal RNA". It matches the Rfam family "Bacterial small subunit ribosomal RNA", at positions 524 to 776 of the family's 1533-position model. The record is from RNAcentral.